RNAcentral lists this long non-coding RNA (6838 nucleotides) under Gallus gallus (chicken). RNAcentral's name for it is "lncRNA (ENSGALG00010005904.1)". The record is from RNAcentral. Lineage: Eukaryota; Metazoa; Chordata; Aves; Galliformes; Phasianidae.
CCCAUUUCAACCAUAACAAGGUAGCAAAAUAUUUUAUUGUCAGCCAAGUACCAUUGCUAAAAAUUUCAGAGAUGUGUGGGUUCAAAGGCUGAUUCAAACUACUUAAAAGAGAAAGACAGACUAUAUAAUCCCUGCACAAUCAGUAAACCAAAUUUAUACAGAGAAAGUGACAAAAGCUUCUUUUGCAAAUAUACAACAUUUGAAAAUCUCAUACUCUCUAAUAGUGAAAAACUAAUUUGGACAGUUCAGUUACCCAUAGGAAACAGCAAAUUUUCCAAAGUUUAUUUAACGGAAACCACAGAUCAACACAAAGAAAUCUAGAAUUUAUACACGUAUAUUAGAUAGAUAGAUGCGAGGCAUUAGAUAUAAUGAAGUUCAGUAAUUCCUCUAAAGUCAGUAGUAAAAAAUAGGUGAAAAGUCCUGGUUUCAAAUUGCAAAACAUCCUCUGCUAUUACCAAAGCAACUUUAAAUCUCUCUGUCUGAAAGCUUCUCUUAUGUUAGAUAUGUAUGAUUCUGACUCCUCUCUAUUCUACCUCUUUUAAGGAUCCCAGUAUGACUAAGAUGGGAAGAAAUGACAGAGAAUCUCAGAAGUGCUACUUGAAAUCAAUUUAUACAGUGAACCCAAAUGUUACCCUCAUCAAUAUUUAUAAAAAGGUUUCACAUUAUAUGGCCAGCAUUGAAUGGUGCAUGUUAUUCUUAUUAAUGUUUCAUAAACAUUUCUACAAAAAACAAUAUGCUUUACUUUGCUACUGAGUAUUAAGUAGAAUUAUGGCAGCAUCUGCUUCCAACAGUUGAGUGCACAAGCUAUUCAUGCCCUGUCGUAAAUUCCAUGAUGCAUUAAGAUGCCAUUAAAGGUACCUUCUGUGGCUGUCUCCUCAUUUACAUACCUUGUAAAUCAUCAGGUAAAAAAUCAAGUGAACUGGGGAGUUAUUUCCUGCAUUCUUUCCUUCUGUCACAGAAUCCAGUGCCAUCUCCAUCUUCCUCCAUCAGGAGCAUCACCUACCAAAACAUGAAGUUAAUGAUGUCAAUGAUGAGAAACUUAAUUGGUUUCCUGUGCUGCCACAUUCACAUCUAUUAUGCACAUCCGAUGACAAUUAUAGAGCUUUUGUUUUCAGGAAUUCACCAGUUUAUUCUUUAAGAAUUAAAAUAACUUUAAUAACAGGAGACCAGACUUGUUUCUUACCACUGUGAGAUUAAAAGAAGGAUGGAGGGAUCAUCUGAAAGUCUCUGUGUGCUGGAAACAUCAAGUAAUGACCUUUAUUACUAAUGACCUAGGCCCUCCAGCAAUGAACCUAGACAACACUGAUUAGGAGAGAAGCCUGCUGCUUUUUACAGGCAUAUAAAAUAAAAGAAGUCUUUGUGUUAAUGGAGAGGGUUAUGACACUGUAGGAUAUGUAAAAAUGAAUGAGCUGUACAAAGAAGGAAUUUUUCCUCCACUGUGGAAGACAGUGAAAAAUUAAUCCAUCAGUAUAAAUACCUGAAUCAUACUUUCACACAGCGCUGUAGAUCUGUUCAAGAUAACAUUAGCCAAACCUUACACUGCAGAUUUGUAAAGCAAUUUUAGCCUGGAAGUUCUGCUUAGAUCACCUCAAAUUAACAGGAAGUGAAGUCUGAGAUUUAGGUCUUAGAAGCAUUCUUGUGUUAAGGAAGCACCAAAAGGAAGCUAGUAUAGAUUGGCAGGAUGUAUAUUUUAAACUGAGAGAAGCUUGUUACUUUUGCUGCCUCAAAUGUGAGAAGUAGCAGAAAAAGAAAAAAAAAAAAGAGAGAAAGAAAAAGAAAAGAUGGAUAGAUGAACAAAUGCAGACCUUAGUUAAAAAGGCCACAUAUUUCUUCUGACUUCCUGCUUGAGCCCUGCAUUUGUACAAUUAUUGUUCUCCUGACCUUUUAGUCUCGGUCACACCAUAAUUCUAACACUGCUUCACACCUGGAAAUUGAGUAGGAUACCUCUCUCCCUGUGAUACGUCCUGGGGCACUCAGGACAAGGCACAACUUCCAGCAAAUCUCAAAGCAGUACAACACUCAAGACACCCGUCUGUUGGCACACAAGGGCAAUCACAUGCAGUUUUUUAUCCAUCUUCAGCACCCACAAGCUCAUCAGAUGCCUGUUGCAUCAUUCUGUGAUGUUGCCCAGCCACUUUCUCCUCAGAUCACAUCUUGGCCUGCUGUAUUUCUCCAGCUGACCAAGCGCAGUCUGCAACCAGGUGACUUAUCUUCCUAAGGAAAGCACACCCCAACAGCUAAAGCUCCUUUUUCACCAAUCCUUUUUACCGCUCUCUCAUUCUCAGUGUUGGUUUGCCAGAUGACCCCAGGGCAAUGCAUCAAAACUUCACAGAUUCCUGUAUCCUCAUCUAAAAUGCCAGCAGAAUUCACAGAUCAACCUUCCUGAAGAUCCAUAACUUUGUUACAACAAGAUUGAAAACUGUGUCAGGAUUUUACACAACACCUGUAAGUCUUUCUCCAAGACAUUUGUACAUGGCAUGAUGAGCAGCAUUAACCUCCAUGAAUUUCAUACUACUUUUUUUAGAGCUAGUUCUGAACUUUCAGUUCUGAGCUGUGAUUUCAAUCACCCACUGAGAUUUCGGUCCUCAAGAAUAGCAGCUUUCAUACAUGAUUAAUGAAUAAUCCUAUACAGAACAUGGCACCGCAUUAAAUUUAUUUUCCAGAUCCACACAGAUUACAACUAUCUUUACGUUCUCUGCAUUAUCUCUACAAUUUUUGGAAGUUUUUUUCUUAGCCAGUUUUGUCAAGAAAUCAGCAUUUGUGGAAAUAUCCUGCCUUAAUCUUCAUGUUUGUCUAAAUGACUGAUGGUCCCUUUAAAAAUUAAUUUCUACUAUAUGUAUACUGAGCUCUGAGAGUUAUGCUCCAUGUUUUCACCAUUCUUCCUUAGUUCUUUCUUAAAACAUUAAAGAACUAUUUUCCUCCCUUCCAGCUCCUGGCUCUACAGUGACUCAGAGAUCUGUCAUGAAUGAGUUUUUUCACUGUCGAAUUGCUAUUCAUGAAAACUAAAUGAGUUCAGAGGAAUGGGAUGACUUACAUUAUAUUCUUGGCUUAAAAGGUUCCUUUUUAUUAAAUCUGUUUACAGGAAAUUACAACAAAUUUUUAUUUGCCUAUUUAAGCUAUCUACAGGUUAUAAAUGGUUGAUAACUUCAAAAAAAAUUCUAUUUUUUAGAUGUGCCUGUGCAGAAUACUUUAUGGACUCUGCUCAUUCAAAAAGUUCAGUGCUUGCUAGCUUUCCUAUCUGUUAUGCCACAGCCCACAGAACAACAUGUAGAGCAGCCAAGUGCCAGCCUGCAUGCAGAGCUCUGAUAAAGGGGACCAGGAAAUCUUCAGCAGCUCCCAGCAACUGCAGGAGUAAUCACCAAAGGGACAAAGGGAGGAAUGAAAAUAAGCACAAAGUGCCUGCAAGUUGAAAUUCUCCAGAGAAAGGACAAAGUGGUAAGAGUACGGCAAGCUGCCUGCUACAGUGCUGGAAACUGAGCUCCACUUCUCCCUGGCAUACUGCUGCUCCGAAUGAGCACCACUGAGGUUAGAAAACAUUAUCAUUGCCCAGCUCUCGUUAUCAGACAGAAACUGCCUGUGCCUCUCCAUAUUCUAAAUGGGACUGUCUCCGUCGAAUACAGCCGUGUUCCUUGGCUGCUGAGAAAUAUGCCUGCCUUCUUGCAGAAAUAAAAAAAGUUGGUUUACAAACAGAACCUCUCAAGCUUUCUCUCCAUUAGAGUAUCAGCCUUGACUGUCAUGUUGCUGCAGGUAGCCAGCUCCCAUUAACCACCCUGUCUCAGCAGUCACCUGAGCACGGGCUGCCUGGUCCAACUAAGAAGAUAAAAUAGACCUUGAGGCCAACUUCAUCCAGCUGAUUGCCUGCUCACUUCUGUUAUUCAUAGCAGGGACAGGCCUCCUUUGCUCCUAAAUAUCCAGGGUAGAUAGCUUUGAAAAAUGCACAGCUUCUUGCAAAAGAACAGCUAAGAUGCACCCAAGUAACCGCACUAGUAGAAGCAACACCAGCAGAGAAGCAAUAAAUCACAAAGGAAUAAAGAGAUACUGAUUCACAUAAGAAGAAACCAGCUACACAAGCCUCCUCAACCGCUUAAUAAGAAAAGACAUUGCAUCUUAACAUCUGAUGAGGGGAACGGAGGUGUUUGCCUUGAUCAAUCUCUUCACAACGUCAAAGAGAAGUGGAAAUAGAAUAAACAAACAAGGUCUCUCACAAAACUUCAGUCUCACACCUAACACCCAGCACCAGACAAAGACUGUCUUUCUAAGGAUGGGGAAGGGGGUUUCUUGUCAUGUUCCUGCUUGUAUCAUACAGACAUCAAAAGAAACUCAUUCUUAUGAUUUGCUACAGAAAAUUUACUUCAUAGACUCCUGGCGAACAUCUCCACAGUUGAAAAAAAUAGAAAUCUUUCAAGUCAUCAGCUUUCACACAUCUUAUUAUAGCAGCCCCCUUGCUGAAAUUCAUACAUGCUGAUGACAACACCGGUACACACACAUGUCAUCUGAGCUGUUUAUAGCCACUCUUUUAUUUAAUGCAUCUCAUCUGCCAGGUUUUUUUGCAGGUUUUGUCUGCUUUAUCAUGUUAUCGUUUAAGUCUUUAUCUAUAAAUCAAACUGAUAUAUAAACCACUUUGUCAUCUUUUGUUUCACAACAGAUGUACAGUAAGCAGAGACUGCCUCUGAAUAGGAAAAAAUGGGAAUGAAAACACUGGCUGAAGCAUACACAGAAGUUUUUAAAAAAGUGUCUUGUUACUAAUAAUCAACGACACAGAAGGAUGGAUGUUUAUGCACAGAAUAUAAGAGGAGAAAAAAUAAAUAAAUAAGAUGAGGAUACUCUUCAUAUGCAAAUGUGAUUUCUUCCUCUCUGUAAUCAGGCCAAGGAAAACAGUCUGAGGGAGGGAUAGCCAUAUAGAAGAACUAAGGCUGAGUCACUUGCAGGAGGUUCCUAGGACACGUAUGUUGAAAUGCAAAAUUCAGUUGCACAAAAAAAGAACUUGGCAUUUCCACUAUGCUAGUGAGUUUUCAUGGACAAACUGUGAUCUUUGCCAGCACACACCAACUACUCCAAAAUCCUCUCAUGACUCCUGUGAUAUUAUCAUUGAUGAGAGGACCAUAGGUUAUAGCUAUACUAUUGUUGUACUAUAAUCAGUGGAAGAAAAUAUACUACUAACAACUGCCCAGAUCAAAAUGCUUCAGAGAAUCUGAGUUAGUGCUGAUAGAAAGGUUUCUCUGCAGUGCACAAGAUGCCAUUUAGUAACACACUGUUAACACUAUUAAGAGUAUUACUGGCACUCUUCUGGAUACUUCUUUCACCCUGGAGAUUCAAACUGAUCCAAAACACAAAACUCUGACUUCUUCCAGUGAAUAAGCGGGAAUUUAGGUUCACUGUUACAGGUGAAGACCUGUUGUUCAAUCUGUUUGACUUUGGGACUAAUAAAAACCAAAGAAAAGUAAAAAAUCUCAGUAGAUGGCUUAGGUGAGCCAACAUAUGCCAUACAUCCUUAUCUCUAAAUCAGUUUAAGCAUUGAACAUGCUAUUUAACCACAUAUCCAGCAUUUCUUUUAGCCUGGAGUAUAGUUCUCAUUGUUCUUAUUAUCCACAUGAACCUCUGACCUCCUGAACUUCCCAAUCUCUUGGUCACAAGCACUUUUGUUUAUGAAACAAGCGAAAAAACAUCUUGAAAAGAAACUUCCUCAUGAGAUGUCAAUUAUUUGAGAUUUCGGUAAGUAUGAAAAAAUAUGCCAAAAAGAUACAAACAGUUUAUACUUCAGCCAACUAGAUUUAAACUUUGAUCAAGACUGAAAAAGUUAAUAAUCACUUUUUGAAUGUAUUUUUUUUUCUGGUUCAGUUUUAGAAACACCCCCAAAUGACAGCAAAUAUUUAAGACUGACUGUAGACACUUUUUUUCCAUAAUUCCCAAACUCUUCCCAAAAAGAAGAAUUAGCAAUCUUCUCCUACCUAAGCAGUUACUUUCACGUAAAAGUAGAUUUUUUGAAAACUCACAAGAUGAAAUUCCUCUAUAUGUAAAAUUAAACCUUUAUAUCACAAAUAUUGGUUAAAGAUCAAGAACAGACUGAAUAUUUUGAGAAAAAUGGAAACAGGGGUAUAAAAAGAAAAAUAUCAUCUCAGGCAAAAAGCAAAUUGUAUUGUAGCAAUUCUCUAUAAAGAACAGCAUUCAUGUCUUCUUUAAGAAUAAAUGCAAAAUUUUGGAAAUUUUCACAAGAUCCUAAAAAAGCAUCAGCAUGGAAGAUUUGAGCUACAUAUAAGACAUCACAUAUAAUCAAAUCUUCAACAUUCACAAAUGUUAAUACUGCCACAAGUAUUUGAAAACUUUUACACAAAUUUUAUUAUAAAAAUUCAUUUAAAAAAGCCAUGAUGGUGACCAUAAGUUUCAGCAGCUUUAAGACUCCAACCUCUAAUAAAUUCUGAAUGUCUAAAGAACAACAAACCUAAUGUUACCAAGAUCUGCUAUUCUAAUAUUGUAUAAAUUUGUACUGAAGCCUUAAGACUGCUAGAAGAUUGCCUAAUUCCUUACCAUUUCCAUCUGAUUGUAUCUACUGUAACAUUUUAAGACAUAAUAGGUUAUAUACUUAACUCAUUUGCUGACAACUUUUACUCCUUGAUACAGGAAAGGAUUUACUUACAGAGCUCCACAAGAAAAUGAAACACUUCAAAAUUUUCCUUAAAGCAAAACAAACAGAAGUAGAAGCAUUUGUUUUAGCAGUAUACAAAAUCAGCACCACAGGAGGCAGAAGCAUAUUUGACACAGUGCAACAAGGAAUGAAGAUCUUCUUUUGAAAUAUGCAAUGCAAAAUGUUUUUCAUCCCCAACAAUAGAAAAAAGAAAAC